RNAcentral lists this ribosomal RNA (164 nucleotides) under Ctenium aromaticum. RNAcentral's name for it is "5.8S ribosomal RNA". It matches the Rfam family "5.8S ribosomal RNA". Rfam says of the family: 5.8S ribosomal RNA (5.8S rRNA) is a component of the large subunit of the eukaryotic ribosome. It is transcribed by RNA polymerase I as part of the 45S precursor that also contains 18S and 28S rRNA. Functionally, it is thought that 5.8S rRNA may be involved in ribosome translocation. The record is from RNAcentral. Lineage: Eukaryota; Viridiplantae; Streptophyta; Magnoliopsida; Poales; Poaceae.
CAACAUGACUCUCGGCAACGGAUAUCUCGGCUCUCGCAUCGAUGAAGAACGUAGCAAAAUGCGAUACCUGGUGUGAAUUGCAGAAUCCCGUGAACCAUCGAGUUUUUGAACGCAAGUUGCGCCUGAGGCCUUCUGGUCGAGGGCACGUCUGCCUGGGCGUCACG